Molecule: long non-coding RNA, 449 nt
Filed under: Gallus gallus (chicken)
Lineage: Eukaryota; Metazoa; Chordata; Aves; Galliformes; Phasianidae
Source: RNAcentral
GAGGGAAUGAGAAAAUAAGUACAAUGCAGCCUGGUGGAAACAAAGACUUUCAGCUAGAUCAUUUCCUUCAGUUUUCCUGUCUAAAUCAUUUUUCCAGGAGCAGUUGGCUCCAUGGUUUUGGGGCUUGGAGAAAAGCCUGGGCAGGGCAGCCCCGAUGGCAACAACCUCCUCAGCAUCCUGACCUCCUCACCUGGCACAGACUCCAGGAGCCAGAUCCAAACUCCCAUGGAGAGUGAUGACACGUGCUCCCACAAGCACUGGCACGUAGGUGUCAGCAGGCCAGGCUGCCUGGGAUUUUGAAAGCAACACCUCGAGAAGCUGAGAUGCACAUGCUGCGAAGGAGAAGCUUUCCUCUUGGAAGCAUAGCGUUUCCAAGAAAAGGACAUUCUGUUCUCCACCACCUCUAAAAAUGCAACCGAUUCUGUCAUCUCCAUAUUUGUUUUGCUACA